This 497-nucleotide ribosomal RNA is filed under the name uncultured bacterium. RNAcentral describes it as "partial 16S ribosomal RNA". It matches the Rfam family "Bacterial small subunit ribosomal RNA", at positions 28 to 507 of the family's 1533-position model. The record is from RNAcentral.
GAUGAACGCUGGCGGCGUGCCUAAUACAUGCAAGUCGAGCGAACAGACGAGGAUCUUGCUCCUCUUACGUUAGCGGCGGACGGGUGAGUAACACGUGGAUAACCUACCUAUAAGACUGGGAUAACUUCGGGAAACCGGAGCUAAUACCGGAUAAUAUAUUGAACCGCAUGGUUCAAUAGUGAAAGACGGUUUUGCUGUCACUUAUAGAUGGAUCCGCGCCGCAUUAGCUAGUUGGUAAGGUAACGGCUUACCAAGGCAACGAUGCGUAGCCGACCUGAGAGGGUGAUCGGCCACACUGGAACUGAGACACGGUCCAGACUCCUACGGGAGGCAGCAGUAGGGAAUCUUCCGCAAUGGGCGAAAGCUUGACGGAGCAACGCCGCGUGAGUGAUGAAGGUCUUCGGAUCGUAAAACUCUGUUAUUAGGGAAGAACAAAUGUGUAAGUAACCAUGCACGUCUUGACGGUACCUAAUCAGAAAGCCACGGCUAACUACGUG